UCCCUAGUAGCUCGGUUGGUAAAGUAUCUGCCUGCAGUGCAGGAGACCUGGGUUCAAUUCCUGGGUCGGGAA
Molecule: transfer RNA, 72 nt
Filed under: Ovis aries (sheep)
Lineage: Eukaryota; Metazoa; Chordata; Mammalia; Artiodactyla; Bovidae
Rfam family: tRNA
About the family: Transfer RNA (tRNA) molecules are approximately 80 nucleotides in length. Their secondary structure includes four short double-helical elements and three loops (D, anti-codon, and T loops).
Source: Rfam by way of RNAcentral